Molecule: long non-coding RNA, 712 nt
Organism: Drosophila biarmipes
Lineage: Eukaryota; Metazoa; Arthropoda; Insecta; Diptera; Drosophilidae
Exons: 3
Source: RefSeq, a predicted model, not a curated record
AUUCAUACAGCUGCAACACACGGCAAAAUCAUGAGCCGGGCGAAAAAACCAAACAGAAUUAAAAUGCAUUACAAACGAUUUGUUAACCGUGAAAUCCGGAGGGUUGUGGCUGCUCUCCGGAAAGAUUAAAUGUUCCGGCAAUUAAGCUUCCGUCGAAUUUUACACUUUUGUGCACAAAAACAAAGUGGAGAAAAAACAGGACAGCAUUCACAUUGUUUGCAUAUUUAAUAAAGCUAAUCAAAAACACGUCGCGCCCUCGCCGGACUCGAAAAACCCCGAUCCCUAUGGCUAUGGCCUUAACCCCGCCCGAAUGCGACGAUUUUAGGGGAGUGAGGCGCUGCAGUGACAGCAUCCUUCACAUAAUUUAUUGGCCAGCACUCAAGGACGCAGAGUUGGGAAAAAAACCUACGAAGUACAAACAAACGGAUAUCGAACAAAACUGUGAAAAACCCAGCGGGAAACCACCGACGGCAGCCAAACUAAUUUGUUGUCAGUUUUAUGCGACAAAAACGAAAACAAUAAGGCAGUAAAAACAAAUUGUUAGAAAGCGAUGCUGCCGAAGGGGAGUGAGGGGAAAGCGCGAGGACGACGAUCCUUGCAGCUGCCAUGAAACUGGUGAAUUAUUGAUUGAAUUAAUAUUUAUCAUAGAACUACUAUUUAUUCCCUAAAAGGGGGAGAAAAUCUGAAAAUUUACAACUUCAUGAAAGAAACU